RNAcentral lists this ribosomal RNA (518 nucleotides) under uncultured bacterium. RNAcentral describes it as "bacterial SSU rRNA". It matches the Rfam family "Bacterial small subunit ribosomal RNA", at positions 20 to 518 of the family's 1533-position model. The record is from RNAcentral.
UGGCUCAGAACGAACGCUGGCGGCGUGCUUAACACAUGCAAGUCGAACGCGAAAGGGACUUCGGUCCUGAGUAAAGUGGCGCACGGGUGAGUAACGCGUAGAUAACCUGUCUUCAUGUCUGGAAUAAUACGCCGAAAGGGGUACUAAUACCGGAUAUUCUUGCUUUUCAUAAGUUAUGCAAGCAAAGGUGGCCUCUGCAUAUGCUACUGCAUGAAGAGGGGUCUGCGUACCAUUAGCUAGUAGGUGGGGUAAUGGCCUACCUAGGCGACGAUGGUUAGCGGGUCUGAGAGGAUGAUCCGCCACACUGGCACUGGAACGCGGGCCAGACUCCUACGGGAGGCAGCAGUGAGGAAUAUUGCGCAAUGGGGGAAACCCUGACGCAGCGACGCCGCGUGAGUGAGGAAGGCCUUCGGGUCGUAAAGCUCUGUCAAGAGGAAAGAAGUGUACAAUGGCUAAUACCUGUUGUAUUUGACGGUACCUCUAAAGGAAGCACCGGCUAACUCCGUGCCAGCCGCGGC